AUUCUUAUAGUCAAAUAUCCCAAGGUAACAAAGAAUAUUGAAAUCAUUUACUAUCAUUUAAACAGAUGAAGUGCUAAAGAAAACUAAAUGAAGCUAAAUUAACCAAACCAACAAACCCAAACAGUCAUGAAUAUCUCCAGGAGAUCUAACACCCUCCCCUAUGUAUCGAGCAAUUAAUGAUUCUAGUCUGAAAAAAAAAAUAAUGAGUCACACC
This 214-nucleotide long non-coding RNA is filed under the name Elaeis guineensis (African oil palm). RNAcentral describes it as "long non-coding RNA (EGUI_LNC001917)". The record is from RNAcentral. Lineage: Eukaryota; Viridiplantae; Streptophyta; Magnoliopsida; Arecales; Arecaceae.